AUGUCUUAAUUAUUUUUUUUUGCAGGAAAACUUCAAGAAUGAAAAAAGAUUGCUACUUUGGAUUGUGGGCCUGAGUAUCAUGCUGAAUGCUUGGAGAAAUGGCUGAUUGUGAAAAACCUUUGCCCUAUCUGUAAAUCAGAAGCAUUGGCCAUGGAGAAGAGAAACGUAUAAUAGGAAGAAGAAUGACUUCUUUUAAUCUAAUGGGUUUAUUUAGAUAUAUUUAUAUAUAAAAAAACUGCUAAGAAGGUCAUGAAUCUGCCAACUCAUAUCAGACAGAGGAAGAAAGAGUCAUGAAAGAGCAGAGUGAAUUCAUAGGAAUCUACUCCUCCACGAUUUGAGAUUAGCUCUGUUCCUUUCAUCACCGCUGAACGCAGCGGUAGCUUCAAAAAAUUAAAGCUUUAACGACAACAACACAGAGCACAGAUGAAGCACGGCGGACUGAUUUUGCAGUCGUGCGGCAACAAACGGAGGAUAAAACAGACGCAGAAAAUAUCAGCGGCAUCGGCUUCUCAUUGCUUGUGUCUCUGGAAGUCCACCAGCGAUUGCCGCUGCAUCAAAUUACUCUUAUUUUUGUCUCGUUCACCGUACAUUAUUUUGCCGCUGCCGCUGGAUGUGGCGUCUAUGAAACGAACAGACCUAUCAUCAUAGAGAUAUGCGUUUGCACAUUGAGGAAAUGUCUUACUGGUGAGCCAUUCAUUACUCUUUACCAUGUUGUUAUCAUAGUUAUGUAUUUAGCAGCUGCAAGUUGUCUGUCUUCAGAAUUAGUUUGUGAAUCUCGCAAUGUAGUUUUCUGUGAUCACGUUUAUGUGUUUUUGUUGAAACUGAUUUGAUAACACAUUGGUCUGAACAGGAGCUUCUUGCGUUGAGUGAGCGGAUUGGAACUGUAAACACUGGUUUGACAGAGGAAGAUGUCAAGAGCCAUCUGAAAACAAGAACAUGUUCUGUAAUAAACCUUGCAGAAGAAUCACCCUCGUCUCCGCAAACUAAAGAUAAAACUGAACCUUGCACCAUAUGUUAGGUAACAAAAUAUAGCCAAAGAUGAAGCUUUUAAAGGCUGCACAUGCUUGGGUUUUAAGAGAUGUCUUAAUUAUUUUUUUUUGCAGGAAAACUUCAAGAAUGAAAAAAGAUUGCUACUUUGGAUUGUGGGCCUGAGUAUCAUGCUGAAUGCUUGGAGAAAUGGCUGAUUGUGAAAAACCUUUGCCCUAUCUGUAAAUCAGAAGCAUUGGCCAUGGAGAAGAGAAACGUAUAAUAGGAAGAAGAAUGACUUCUUUUAAUCUAAUGGGUUUAUUUAGAUAUAUUUAUAUAUAAAAAAGGAAAC
This 1318-nucleotide long non-coding RNA is filed under the name Brassica napus (rape). RNAcentral describes it as "long non-coding RNA (BNAP_LNC010688)". The record is from RNAcentral. Lineage: Eukaryota; Viridiplantae; Streptophyta; Magnoliopsida; Brassicales; Brassicaceae.